GAUGAACGCUAGCGGCAGGCUUAAUACAUGCAAGUCGAACGGGAUUCGGUGUAGCAAUACAUUGAUGAGAGUGGCGCACGGGUGCGUAACGCGUAUGCAACCUACCUUUAACAGGUGAAUAACCCCGAGAAAUCGGGAUUAAUACACCGUAACAUUGCGGGAUGGCAUCAUUCUGCAAUUAAAGAUUUAUCGGUUAAAGAUGGGCAUGCGUGACAUUAGCUAGUUGGUGAGGUAACGGCUCACCAAGGCGACGAUGUCUAGGGGUCCUGAGAGGGUUAUCCCCCACACUGGUACUGAGACACGGACCAGACUCCUACGGGAGGCAGCAGUAAGGAAUAUUGGUCAAUGGGCGCAAGCCUGAACCAGCCAUGCCGCGUGCAGGAAGACGGCCCUAUGGGUUGUAAACUGCUUUUGUCAGGGAAUAAACCUGUCUACGAGUAGGCAGCUGAAGGUACCUGAAGAAUAAGCAUCGGCUAACUCCGUGCCAG
RNAcentral lists this ribosomal RNA (488 nucleotides) under uncultured bacterium. RNAcentral's name for it is "bacterial SSU rRNA". It matches the Rfam family "Bacterial small subunit ribosomal RNA", at positions 28 to 511 of the family's 1533-position model. The record is from RNAcentral.